UCAUAUGCUUGUCUUAAAGAUUAAGCCAUGCAUGUCUAAGUAUAAGCUUUUAUACGGCUAAACUGCGAAUGGCUCAUUAAAACAGUUAUAGUUUAUUUGAUGGUCUUUACUACAUGGAUAACCGUGGGUAUUCUAUGGCUAUACAUGCGCACAUGCCUCUUUCCCUGGAAGGGCAGUGUUUAUUAAAUACAGA
This 193-nucleotide ribosomal RNA is filed under the name Toxoplasma gondii ME49. RNAcentral describes it as "Toxoplasma gondii rRNA TGME49_461000". It matches the Rfam family "Eukaryotic small subunit ribosomal RNA", at positions 24 to 220 of the family's 1831-position model. Lineage: Eukaryota; Apicomplexa; Conoidasida; Eucoccidiorida; Sarcocystidae. The record is from RNAcentral.